Camellia sinensis is the source of this 151-nucleotide non-coding RNA. NCBI's taxonomy places the organism in Eukaryota, Viridiplantae, Streptophyta, Magnoliopsida, Ericales, Theaceae. The record is from RefSeq and is a predicted model, not a curated record.
CAUGAUGUGUGUGGCUGUUUUGGGCCAGUCACCACUGCCCUUUCAUUAUUCUCUUCAUCCUUCAUGUUUGAGCUUGCUGAAGAGGCAAAUAGGCUUGUGAACUAAGUGGAAGCUCUUGGUGAAAUAGUUGAACAACUGGGUAAAAAAGGCU